GGAGAUUUAGCUCAGCGGUAGAGCGCUUGCCUAGCAAGCACAAGGCCCUGGGUUCGGUCCCCAGCUCUG
RNAcentral lists this transfer RNA (69 nucleotides) under Rattus norvegicus (Norway rat). It matches the Rfam family "tRNA". Rfam says of the family: Transfer RNA (tRNA) molecules are approximately 80 nucleotides in length. Their secondary structure includes four short double-helical elements and three loops (D, anti-codon, and T loops). Lineage: Eukaryota; Metazoa; Chordata; Mammalia; Rodentia; Muridae. The record is from Rfam by way of RNAcentral.